Molecule: long non-coding RNA, 416 nt
Organism: Salvia splendens (bonfire salvia)
Lineage: Eukaryota; Viridiplantae; Streptophyta; Magnoliopsida; Lamiales; Lamiaceae
Exons: 2
Source: RefSeq, a predicted model, not a curated record
AAAGUAAAGUGAGCAGUGAUCUAAAAAUUCAAGAGAGCAGUGAUCAUCAGUGUGCUCUACUCCAUUUGAAAAGAGCAAUAAAUAGCCAACAUCGCUGGCUACUGAGGCUGGAACUUUGUUGGUGGAAAGCCACGUCCUUGAUCAUUAUCAUGCUGAGAGGAUAAGAUGAAUUUGAUGUGCUUCCUUUUGAAGUUGACCAAUAGUAACCUUUUUUAUUUCAAUAAUCCUUAGAAUUUUUGGAUUAAUGGAAUAAGCUCCUGAUGCCUCUUGAAUUUUUCUAAAGAUUUGGAGACAUCUAAUAAGUCUUCUUAAUUCUGUAAGUCUGAAGCUGCAAGAUUUCUUGAAAGAAAUAGACAUGUCAAGCAGCAGUGACAAUAAGGAUAAUUUUGAGAAUUCUUUUCAUUCUUUUGAUUCUA